RNAcentral lists this ribosomal RNA (406 nucleotides) under uncultured bacterium. RNAcentral's name for it is "partial 16S ribosomal RNA". It matches the Rfam family "Bacterial small subunit ribosomal RNA", at positions 30 to 526 of the family's 1533-position model. The record is from RNAcentral.
AUUGAACGCUGGCGGCAGGCCUAACACAUGCAAGUCGAACGAGUGGCGGACGGGUGAGUAAUGUCUGGGAAACUGCCUGAUGGAGGGGGAUAACUACUGGAAACGGUAGAUACUACCGCAUACCAUCAGAUGUGCCGAGUGGGGAGUUGGUUGUUGGGGGGGUAACGGCUCACCAAGGCGACGAUCCCUAGCUGGUCUGAGAGGAUGAGCAGCCACACUGGAACUGAGCCACGGUCCAGACUCCUACGGGAGGCAGCAGUGGGGAAUAUUGCACAAUGGGCGCAAGCCUGAUUGAGCCAUGCCGCGUGUAUGAAGAAGGCCUUCGGGUUGUAAAGUACUUUCAGUGGGGAGGCGGUACCCGCAGAAGAAGCACCGGCUAACUCCGUGCCAGCAGCCGCGGUAAUUC